Molecule: transfer RNA, 73 nt
Filed under: Podarcis muralis (Common wall lizard)
Lineage: Eukaryota; Metazoa; Chordata; Lepidosauria; Squamata; Lacertidae
Also listed under: 2 other names
Rfam family: tRNA
About the family: Transfer RNA (tRNA) molecules are approximately 80 nucleotides in length. Their secondary structure includes four short double-helical elements and three loops (D, anti-codon, and T loops).
Source: Rfam by way of RNAcentral
GCCAAAGUAGCUCAGCUGGGAGAGCGUUAGACUGAAGAUCUAAAGGUCCCUGGUUCAACCCCGGGCUUUGGCA